GUCUAAGACCAUAUCAGCCUGAAUGUGCCCAAUCUCAUCUGGUCUCAGAAGCUAAGCAGGGUCGGGCCUGAUUAGUACUGAGAUGGAAGACAGAUCUUCAGAAGAGACU
RNAcentral lists this ribosomal RNA (109 nucleotides) under Castor canadensis (American beaver). The record is from RNAcentral. Lineage: Eukaryota; Metazoa; Chordata; Mammalia; Rodentia; Castoridae.